AUACUUACCUGGCAUAGGGGUUACCGUGAUCAGAAAGGCGGUUCCCCCAGGGCGAGACCCUUCCAUUGCACCUCGGCUGGGUUGACCCCUGCGAUUAUCCCUCAUGUGGAUAACUCGUAUGGGGAUUUUUUUUUAUUAUCUGACAAUUUGCGCCGGGGGUCUUCAGAUU
Uranotaenia lowii is the source of this 169-nucleotide small nuclear RNA. RefSeq annotates it as U1 spliceosomal RNA. The record is from RefSeq and is a predicted model, not a curated record. NCBI's taxonomy places the organism in Eukaryota, Metazoa, Arthropoda, Insecta, Diptera, Culicidae. The transcript has a single exon.